AAUCCUUCGAGGGUGCCUAACUGCCCCAUUGCCAUGGCCAUCUGACCCAUGUAGCUCGCGACAUUAUCCGAUGAACUGGAACCAAGAGUUCCACUGGAUAAAGUAUCAGCUAGGGAUUGCUGUAAACUCUCCAUCCCUUGAGAUAAAGCAUCUUCUGCCUGCUGCGACGUCUGCUGCAAGCUAUUGAUGCCCAUUACCUGUCGUUCUGUCAUGGGCUCUAGCUGAUUCGCAAGAAGCUGUUGUGAAAACACUGCGACUCAUUAAGUUGGCUGUUCAUCAAAAUCUCUCUAUGGACUUGGAAAGAGCUUAC
This is a long non-coding RNA of Arabidopsis thaliana (thale cress), 310 nucleotides long. RefSeq annotates it as other RNA. The record is from RefSeq. The transcript has a single exon. Lineage: Eukaryota; Viridiplantae; Streptophyta; Magnoliopsida; Brassicales; Brassicaceae.